ACGGGUGAGUAACACGUGGGUAACCUGCCCUGUACUCUGGGAUAAGCCUGGGAAACUAGGUCUAAUACCGGAUACGACCUGUCACCGCAUGGUGGUGGGUGGAAAGUUCCGGCGGUAUGGGAUGGACCCGCGGCCUAUCAGCUUGUUGGUGGGGUAAUGGCCUACCAAGGCGACGACGGGUAGCCGGCCUGAGAGGGUGACCGGCCACACUGGGACUGAGACACGGCCCAGACUCCUACGGGAGGCAGCAGUGGGGAAUAUUGCACAAUGGGCGAAAGCCUGAUGCAGCGACGCCGCGUGAGGGAUGACGGCCUUCGGGUUGUAAACCUCUUUCAGCAGGGACGAAGCGCAAGUGACGGUACCUGCAGAAGAAGCACCGGCUAACUACGUGCCAGCAGCCGCGGUAAUACGUAGGGUGCGAGCGUUGUCCGGAAUUAUUGGGCGUAAAGAGCUCGUAGGCGGUUUGUUGCGUCGGCUGUGAAAACUUCACGCUUAACGUGGAGCCUGCAGUCGAUACGGGCAGACUUGAGUUCGGCAGGGGAGACUGGAAUUCCUGGUGUAGCGGUGAAAUGCGCAGAUAUCAGGAGGAACACCGGUGGCGAAAGCGGGUCUCUGGGCCGAUACUGACGCUGAAGAGCGAAAGCGUGGGGAGCGAACAGGAUUAGAUACCCUGGUAGUCCACGCCGUAAA
Molecule: ribosomal RNA, 690 nt
Filed under: Saccharothrix sp.
Lineage: Bacteria; Bacillati; Actinomycetota; Actinomycetes; Pseudonocardiales; Pseudonocardiaceae
Description: bacterial SSU rRNA
Rfam family: Bacterial small subunit ribosomal RNA
Source: RNAcentral